Molecule: ribosomal RNA, 312 nt
Filed under: uncultured Glomeromycotina
Lineage: Eukaryota; Fungi; Glomeromycota
Description: LSU rRNA
Source: RNAcentral
GAUUGAAGUCAGUCGUACCGGCGGGAAAUCAGCUUCUCGAGUGGGGGUUCGUGGGUGCGUUGAGCUUCGGCCUUCGUCGCUUGUGAUUCCUUUGCUUCUGGGGCGUACUUUUCCGUGUGGUAGGUCAACAUCGGUUUUGAUUACCAUAAAAUGACCGGAGGAAUGUGGCUUCGAUCUUGCAUUGGAGUGUUAUAGCCUCUGGUAGAUGUGGUGGUUGGGAUCGAGGAUUGCAACGAAUACCCUUUGGGCUAUCCGCCUGACCUCUGAAAGUCGCUUGGGUACCGAAAGCUUGCUUAUGGUCAUUCAAGUGGC